RNAcentral lists this ribosomal RNA (464 nucleotides) under uncultured bacterium. RNAcentral's name for it is "bacterial SSU rRNA". It matches the Rfam family "Bacterial small subunit ribosomal RNA", at positions 30 to 489 of the family's 1533-position model. The record is from RNAcentral.
AUUGAACGCUGGCGGCAUGCCUUACACAUGCAAGUCGAACGGCAGCGGACCUUCGGGUGCCGGCGAGUGGCGAACGGGUGAGUAAUGCAUCGGAACGUGCCAUUGAGUGGGGGAUAACGUAGCGAAAGUUGCGCUAAUACCGCAUAUUCUGUGCGCAGGAAAGCAGGGGACCGCAAGGCCUUGCGCUCUUUGAGCGGCCGAUGUCAGAUUAGCUAGUUGGUGAGGUAACGGCUUACCAAGGCGACGAUCUGUAGCGGGUCUGAGAGGAUGAUCCGCCACACUGGAACUGAGACACGGUCCAGACUCCUACGGGAGGCAGCAGUGGGGAAUUUUGGACAAUGGGCGCAAGCCUGAUCCAGCAAUGCCGCGUGUGUGAAGAAGGCCUGCGGGUUGUAAAGCACUUUCAGUGGGGAAGAACAGAUUCGGGUCAAUACCCCGGAGCCCUGACGUUACCCACAGAAGAA